RNAcentral lists this ribosomal RNA (388 nucleotides) under uncultured bacterium. Its description in RNAcentral is "bacterial SSU rRNA". It matches the Rfam family "Bacterial small subunit ribosomal RNA", at positions 30 to 418 of the family's 1533-position model. The record is from RNAcentral.
AUUGAACGCUGGCGGCAUGCCUUACACAUGCAAGUCGAACGGCAGCGGACCUUCGGGUGCCGGCGAGUGGCGAACGGGUGAGUAAUAUAUCGGAACGUACCUUUCAGUGGGGGAUAACGUAGCGAAAGUUACGCUAAUACCGCAUAUUCUGUGAGCAGGAAAGCAGGGGAUCGCAAGACCUUGCGCUGAUUGAGCGGCCGAUAUCAGAUUAGCUAGUUGGUGAGGUAAAGGCUCACCAAGGCGACGAUCUGUAGCGGGUCUGAGAGGAUGAUCCGCCACACUGGAACUGAGACCCCAGGUCCAGACUCCUACGGGAGGCAGCAGUGGGGAAUUUUGGACAAUGGGCGCAAGCCUGAUCCAGCCAUGCCGCGUGAGUGAAGAAGGCCUU